This 301-nucleotide ribosomal RNA is filed under the name uncultured bacterium. Its description in RNAcentral is "partial 16S ribosomal RNA". It matches the Rfam family "Bacterial small subunit ribosomal RNA", at positions 509 to 807 of the family's 1533-position model. The record is from RNAcentral.
CAGUCGCCGCGGUAAUACGGAGGGUGCAAGCGUUAAUCGGAAUUACUGGGCGUAAAGCGCACGCAGGCGGUCUGACAAGUCAGAUGUGAAAUCCCCGGGCUUAACCUGGGAACUGCAUUUGAAACUGUCAGGCUGGAGUCUUGUAGAGGGGGGUAGAAUUCCAGGUGUAGCGGUGAAAUGCGUAGAGAUCUGGAGGAAUACCGGUGGCGAAGGCGGCCCCCUGGACAAAGACUGACGCUCAGGUGCGAAAGCGUGGGGAGCAAACAGAAUUAGAUACCCCUGUAGUCCCUGUCUCUUAUAC